ACCUCGCCCAGCCUAGCGCACUGAGAGCUCUCAUUUUCCCCCCUUGCUCGGGAUGGUGCCACAGGAGGCUGUGCGGGCCCCGCUCCGCUUCGAAUGGAUACAGUUAAGCUAAUGAUCUCGAGAGGAUAUCGUCCUGGAUAAGGGUGGAGCCUACGCCCAAAAACAAGAUUACCUGAAAGAGAAAAGAAAGGGGGAAAACACACAGAGAUACAGUCGGGGAGGCCACAUGAAGAUGGAGGCAGAGACAGGAGUGAUGAGCCUGCAAGCCAAGGAAUGCCAAGGGCUGCCAGCAGCCAUGAGAAGCUGAGAGACACAGAGAACGAGUCCUCUGCCAGAGCCUCCAGAAGGAACUAACCCUGUCAAUACCUUGAUUUCGGACUUCUGGACUCCAGAACUGUGAGAGAAUAUAUUUCUGUUGUUUUAAGCCAUUCAGUUUGUAGUAAUUGGUUACAAUAGCCAUGGGAAGCUAACAUAGGGUCCUUCAACAAUCAAAGCAAAAAAGAGGACCUAUUAGCACAUGGAGUGCAAAGGAGGAAGGAAUGACUGAGCUGUUUGAAAGUGCAGCGGGAUGUCAUGGGCAACCAGAACUCAGGUCCAAAUUCUGCCAGAACUCUCCCUCUGUGUUAGUCUAUUCUCACACUGCUAAUAAAGACAUACCUGAGACUGGCUGAUUUAUAAAGGAAAGAGGUUCAAUUGACUCACAGUUCUGCAGGGCUGCGGGGGGGACUCAGGAAACUUACAAUCAUGACAAAAGUGGAAGCAAACACAUCCUUCUUCACAUGGCAGCAAGGAGAAGUGCCGAGCCAAAGGAGGAAAAGCCCCUUAUAAAACCAUCAGAUUUCAUGAGAACUCACUCACUAUCAUGAGCACAGCAGCAUGGGGAUAACUGCCCCCACGAUUCAAUUACCUCCCACCAGGUCCCUACCAAGACACGUGGAGAUUAUGGGAAUUACAAUUCAAAAUGAGAUUUGGGUGGGGACACAGCCAAACCAUAUCGGUCUCUUUCCUCUCUGCUUCACUGUCAUUGAAAACUGGCAUUCUUCACUUGGCAGCAAACAUUGCUGCUAACAUCUUUUGAGUUUUUUAUUGUAUGGCUUCAAUCAUCUCAGACAUACUAACUUCCUUUCAUAUUUCCAAAUUAUCUGAAAGAAUCUUACUUUCCUAAUUUGGGUCAUGUCUCACCCUGAACUAACCAACAGAGGCUAAGCUGCCAGGAUCUUAUAAAAUAUGACAGCUCCUAAGGAAACCACUUGAAUGAGUGGAGGUGCUGGGCACCCAGGAGUCCAUCACAUGGGAUCUUUUCUGUCUGUGAUAUGAUAGCCAUUUUUUUAAGGACAACAGUGUGGCAUUUGCAAAGACAUUUGUUUUGUGGACAAGACAUGCAAGUGAAUCUGAGCUCUGCCAUUUACUGGAAGUGUGACAUUAGCAAGUCACUUGGCCUUUCUGAGCUUUCUUAUCUUGUAAAAAAUGAGGAUAGAUUGUUUGAUAAACACUCUACACCUAGAAGGAUCUCAAUAAUGUUUGUUAAUAAUGGUCAUAGAAGUAUAGAACUUAAAUGGACCUUAAAGACAGACAAGGUUAAUCACCUUAUUUUUGCAGAUGAGAUUUCAGAAUUUAAGUUGGUGAGAAAACCAGGACAAGAAUUUAGGUUACUUAACUACCAGAUUAGUGUUUCUUUGUUAUUUUAUAUGAUCUGCCCCCAUCCCUGUGGAUAUAAAAUAAGGUCUCAUCUGAAAGGUGUUAUUCAACUAAAGAAAAAGCAGCUUUCUUAGAACAGACACUGAUAUUAGGCUUUAGAUUAGAUAUUAACACAGGGAUAAAGGUGUCAAAAAAGAAAGACCAAAGAAUUGUGUUGGGAGUUAAAACGUGAAGGACACAGUCAAGUGCCUGCAAAAUCUUGCCAUUUUUGAGCCUAUAAACAGUAAUUACUUUGAGACAGCAUUCACACAAAUAAACUAUGAUGGGUUCAGACCCCUCUGAUUAUUAAGCCAUCUUGUUUACAUCCCUCUAUCCUGUGUUUCUUUUCCUUUGGCUAUCCUUAUUAUAUAAAUAAAAACAGUUAGGAAGAGCCUAUUUGCGUCAGUUUGACAAUGAGAAAAUCAGGAGAAAGGUUUUUCCUUCUUUGGGCCAAGCUUUGGUCCUUGUAAGAACAAUUGCUAAUAUGUCUAGUGACUAUAGUUCUGAUCAUUUUUAUGCUUAUAAAAGCCUGAUGCUGAAUGCCUAUGUUUUAAAAUUUUUAUAAGAUCAACUUUGCUUUCAGAUAACCCUCCUUCCUCCACCUCACAAAAACUCACAAGCUGCAACCCUUCUGAUGUCCACUCCCACACAAACCAGCUUCAGGCCUUUUUCAAGGUAAAGUGCCAUAUUUAUUGUAGCAUUUAUGAACUUCCUAAUCGCAUAACAUGUGUAAAACUGCACUAGUGUUUUUAUUAGGCUCCUACAUAUUUUUAUGUGUCACUGAUGAAGUGUUUGAAUGUUUUGCCCAGUCUCAUUUUUGUGCUAAACCUUAUGAUGUGACUUUUAUUGCAUGAUUUUAUGUGGCAAUGGCGAUUUUUAGGAAUGCAUAUUUCAUAUUAGGGUAGAAUUGACUGUAUCUUGUUGGGAUAUGGGUUAUGUAAGCAAAUUCAAUAGCCAAAUAUAAUCAUACUGUAACCCCUAAAAUCUGCAUUUUGCAACAGGUAAAUGAUAACUCAAUAAUAAUUAAAUCAAUAUUAAUAAUUUCUUUCUGCUUAAGGUUUACAUCUUAACUGUAUAUUUGCCCAUGAUUGCUUAUGCAUUUCAUUUUACUUCUCGGUGAGUAGCAAACUACUCACAGUUCCCUGGAUGUGCCAAGUUCUCUUAUGGCUCUUAGAACUCAACGUUACUUUUAUUAAAUUCUCACUUUCCGUCUUUGCCAGAUUAAUUUCUACUAAUCAUUUAGACUUUGGUUAAAAUAUCACUUCUUUCAGGAAGUCUUCCUGGCUAUUAUUUCCUCCUCAGUUUGGUUAAAUGCCUCUUAUACGUGCUCUCACAGCAUUUUGUGCUUAGCUUUAUCAUAGUUUUUGCUACAUUUGGAAGGAAUUAUUUGUCAUUGCUUUUAGAUCCCAACUUUCAAGUUAAGAGCUAUGCAUUUUAAUCCCAAAUCUCCAUGCCUAGGUCAGUGCUGGCAUGAAACAGACUCACAGAGUAAUAUUAUCUGAAAAUUAUCUAAAUAAAUUAAUGAAGAUACUAUUUCUUGAGCUAGUUUAUUAGUUUCCUAUUUCUAAUUAACAAAAAUGAACACAAGUUUAGUGGAUUAAAACAACAGAAACUUAUUAUCUUACAGUUCUAGAGGUCAGAAUUCUGACAUGGAUCUCACUGGGCUGAAAUCAAGCUGUUGGCAUGGCUCCAUUUCUUCUGGAAACUCUAGUGAGAAAUUCAUUUUCUUGCCCUUUUCAGCGUCUAGAGGCCACACCUUGUUCAGAAUUAAUAGAUCAUAUAGGUGUAAAUUUAUUUUCAACUUUCAGUUCUUGUCUGGUGGAAGAAGGUGGGUUAUCUGAAAUGAGACAGAGUAACACCAGAUGAGGUUGUGUUUGACUCAUAAUACACGGGUGGAUGUGGGUGAACUGAGCAGCUGGUAGAUGUUUGCGGUGUGUUUGUGUGGUUCAUUAAUCUAUUCGUUCAUCUUUACAGCAAUACCACACUUUUCCAAUUUCUAUACUUUUUUUGUUUUUAUGAUAUUGUAAAUGGUAUGUUUAUAGUUUCAUUUUUCAAGUUUUGAUUGCUAGUAUGCAGUAAAGCAAUUGACUUUUGUAUGUAAACAUUGUAUUCUGUGAUAAUACUAAAUCAGCUUAUUAGGAUUUUUUUAAAGACUCCUUAGAAUUUUCUAUAUAUUAUGUCACCAGUAAUUCAAAAGAGUUUUGCUCUUUUCUUUUCGGUCCUUAUGCAUUUUGUUUAUUUAUAUUGUCCUAUUUUACUGGCUGGGGACCUCUAGUACAAGGAUGAAUAAGAGUGCUAAGAAUGGACAUCCUUGCUUUGUUUCCUAAGGGAAAAGCAUUCAGUAUUUUAUAAUUAAAUAUAGUAUUAUUUCUAUUUGUAAAAAAUAAGUGGACUUUAUCAGAUUGAGAAAAUUUUCUUUUAUAUCUAAUUUUCUGGUGGUUACUAUUAUUGUUACUGCUAUCAUUAUAGUUGGCUGUUGAAUUUCAUCAAAUGCUUUUUCUUCAACUAAUGAGAUAAUCAAGUGAUUUUUCAUUAUUUUAUCCUGCCAAUAUGUUUACUAACAUUCAUUUUAUUUUGAGUGUUAAAACAGCUUUGGAUUUCUGGUAUAAUCCCACUAGGUCAUGAUGUAUUCGCCUUUUUAUGUAUUCCUGGAUUUGGGCUGAUCAUAUUUUCUUGAGGACUUCUGUAUCUGUGUUAUUGAAAGGUAUUAAUCUGUACCUUUCUUUUUUUGUAAUGUAUGUGAAUGGCUUGGUAUCAAGUUAACACUGGCCUCAUAAAAUGAAUUGGGAAGUGUUCCUUUCUUUUAUAUUUUUGAAAGAGUUUAAAUGCAAUUUGUAUUAUUUCUUUCUUAAUUGAU
Long non-coding RNA from Homo sapiens (human), 4534 nucleotides. Ensembl annotates it as mir-100-let-7a-2-mir-125b-1 cluster host gene. Its record names the gene MIR100HG. Lineage: Eukaryota; Metazoa; Chordata; Mammalia; Primates; Hominidae. The record is from Ensembl.